Molecule: ribosomal RNA, 250 nt
Filed under: uncultured Chroococcidiopsis sp.
Lineage: Bacteria; Bacillati; Cyanobacteriota; Cyanophyceae; Chroococcidiopsidales; Chroococcidiopsidaceae
Description: partial 16S ribosomal RNA
Rfam family: Bacterial small subunit ribosomal RNA
Source: RNAcentral
CUAGCCGUAAACGAUGGAUACUAGGCGUUGAGAGGAUCGACCCUCGCAGUGCCGUAGCUAACGCGUUAAGUAUCCCGCCUGGGGAGUACGCGCGCAAGCGUGAAACUCAAAGGAAUCGACGGGGGCCCGCACAAGCGGUGGAGUAUGUGGUUUAAUUCGAUGCAACGCGAAGAACCUUACCAGGGCUUGACAUGUCCGGAACCCUGCCCAAAGGUGGGGGUGCCUACGGGAGCCGGAACACAGGUGGUGC